This 354-nucleotide long non-coding RNA is filed under the name Capra hircus (goat). Its description in RNAcentral is "lncRNA (ENSCHIG00010017806.1)". Lineage: Eukaryota; Metazoa; Chordata; Mammalia; Artiodactyla; Bovidae. The record is from RNAcentral.
AUGUGCCAGGACUACAGCAGAGGAUCGGAGGUGGGAGGAACCACGUCUGCGCGCCUGGUCACUGCAUUGCACAAUGUCCGGGCAGCAUUCACACACAACACAACACACAUUUCACCCUUGGGAGUUGUGCAAUGCGGUAGACCAGUCAUUGAUGGGCCCAAGCCGUGGCUCAGGAAAGGCCUCCGUACAAGAAGGACAUUUAAACUGAGACCUGAAAUGAGACACUGGCACAGAUUUUGGAGUCACUGGGAUAUCAACACGGAAGCUGCGGGAGGUCGGCUCACUCAUAAAAAAAUUUUCCGCACAACACGAUACAGUAAAGCAAUUAUCCUCCAAUUAAAAAUAAACAAUUGA